UAUAUAUAUAUUUUAUUUUUACAGACUUGUGUGCAGAGGUGUGAAAACAUGAAGAUUGUGAUUCUUGCUGUUUGUAUUGGCUGUCAGCCAGAAUGAAGCCUUGAAGUGUUACUGUGGAGGCCUACAGGAGUGUACAAAGUGGCAACCUGCCCACUCUACUAUUUAUGUGCCUGUAAGUAGCCUACUUUAGUCUUAACUGGGCAUGAGCUGCAGUAAAAAACUGUCCCAAGAAAGUGAAGUCUUUCCACUAGGAAAACAAUCUCCUAAUCUUCCGCUCUUUCCAUGUUUUCACAGCCAGCUCCAAGGGUUGCAUGAAAACAAUUGACUGUGUGAAAUGAGAACUUAUUGCUGUGGCAGUGAUCUGUGCAACAAAUAUCAUGACUUACUAAUGCAUCCCCUGAUGAAUGAAUAUCUUUCAUGUAGUAAUAAAGAGCAAUGUGUUUCAAA
Molecule: long non-coding RNA, 447 nt
Organism: Micropterus salmoides (largemouth bass)
Lineage: Eukaryota; Metazoa; Chordata; Actinopteri; Centrarchiformes; Centrarchidae
Exons: 2
Source: RefSeq, a predicted model, not a curated record